Molecule: ribosomal RNA, 735 nt
Filed under: Acinetobacter tjernbergiae
Lineage: Bacteria; Pseudomonadati; Pseudomonadota; Gammaproteobacteria; Moraxellales; Moraxellaceae
Description: bacterial SSU rRNA
Rfam family: Bacterial small subunit ribosomal RNA
Source: RNAcentral
AGGCUUACACAUGCAAGUCGAGCGGAGAUGAGGUGCUUGCACCUUAUCUUAGCGGCGGACGGGUGAGUAAUGCUUAGGAAUCUGCCUAUUAGUGGGGGACAACAUUCCGAAAGGAAUGCUAAUACCGCAUACGUCCUACGGGAGAAAGCAGGGGACCUUCGGGCCUUGCGCUAAUAGAUGAGCCUAAGUCGGAUUAGCUAGUUGGUGGGGUAAAGGCCUACCAAGGCGACGAUCUGUAGCGGGUCUGAGAGGAUGAUCCGCCACACUGGGACUGAGACACGGCCCAGACUCCUACGGGAGGCAGCAGUGGGGAAUAUUGGACAAUGGGCGGAAGCCUGAUCCAGCCAUGCCGCGUGUGUGAAGAAGGCCUUUUGGUUGUAAAGCACUUUAAGCGAGGAGGAGGCUACUAGUACUAAUACUACUGGAUAGUGGACGUUACUCGCAGAAUAAGCACCGGCUAACUCUGUGCCAGCAGCCGCGGUAAUACAGAGGGUGCGAGCGUUAAUCGGAUUUACUGGGCGUAAAGCGUGCGUAGGCGGCUGAUUAAGUCGGAUGUGAAAUCCCUGAGCUUAACUUAGGAAUUGCAUUCGAUACUGGUCAGCUAGAGUAUGGGAGAGGAUGGUAGAAUUCCAGGUGUAGCGGUGAAAUGCGUAGAGAUCUGGAGGAAUACCGAUGGCGAAGGCAGCCAUCUGGCCUAAUACUGACGCUGAGGUACGAAAGCAUGGGGAGCAAACA